This 1049-nucleotide long non-coding RNA is filed under the name Ursus maritimus (polar bear). Its description in RNAcentral is "lncRNA (ENSUMAG00000016407.1)". The record is from RNAcentral. Lineage: Eukaryota; Metazoa; Chordata; Mammalia; Carnivora; Ursidae.
ACAUUCAAAGACCAGCUGAGCCAGAAGACUUUUCUCAGAGUCUCACAGCUGAAGGGGAAGGGAGGCCUCAGCAGAGGUGGGCUGGUGUGGGAGGAAGCAAAGCAGAGGGGCUGGUGAUCAUAGGCAGUGAGUGCUGUCUUACCUAACUCCAUAUGUCGCUGGAAUUCCAGCUCCGGGGACUCUUGCUGGCAGUCGCUUCUGGAUAGGUUGAUGUGCUCAGCCUUUAGCUGGAAGUAUCACUAGGCUACAGAGUGGGUUGGCAUAGCUUUCUGUCUUCGUCUAAGCUAGAUAUCAUGUUUGAGAGCCAAAAGACCCAUACCUACUUCAUUGUCCUGUGAUCAGUAGAGGAAGGUGUGUACCCCCACCCACAGUCUCCCUUCAAAAAGGCAGCUUGAUGCAUUGAAACAGGAGUGGACCCUGGACUCUGACAGCACUGGUUCAAGUCCUGGCUCUGCCAUGUGUAGUGGCUGAAGGAAUGAACUUGGGCAAAUCAUUUGACUCCCCUGACCCUUUUCUCAUUUGGAAAAUUGUGAGCACAAUCACUGCCAACCUCAAACCCCUUCCGCACACCCAGGCUUAGAGUAAAAAGUCAGAAAACAUGACUUUAAAGCUCACCUAAAAUUUCCUUUCCUCCCUUCACUUAAAAAUAGGAGGUGUGGAGAGUGGGAAGAGCUCCCAUCCAGAGGGAUGGCAGGAGAAAAAUUUGUAGCCUGUGCUGGCUGACAGAUGUGUGCGCAAGGGCAGUUCAAGAGAACAACAUUAAUCACAAGCAGCCAUAAAGGGCCAAAAGUUGAGGCUUUGGGAACGGAUGCCUACUUCCAUCUGACAAUAAUGUGCUCAAGACAGUGACUUUAUCCUCCUUACAGAGUAAACAACACCUUGAUGGCCUAAAAGAGAGUUUGAAUGGAUGGGGGGAAGAAAAGGGGCACAGAUCUUGUAGUUGCAGCCUUUACAAAUACCUGUGGGGAUUUAUUUGGGGCAGGCUUCUUUGUUUUUAAGACACAUAACUCAGAAUAAGAAUAAAAAAUUAUGCAUAGAGAGUGGAGUCA